Molecule: ribosomal RNA, 459 nt
Filed under: uncultured bacterium
Lineage: Bacteria
Description: partial 16S ribosomal RNA
Rfam family: Bacterial small subunit ribosomal RNA
Source: RNAcentral
CCUACGGGAGGCAGCAGUGAGGAAUAUUGGUCAAUGGCCGCAGGGCUGAACCAGCCAAGUCGCGUGAGGGAUGACGGUUCUAUGGAUUGUAAACCUCUUUUGUCAGGGAGCAAAGGGCGCGACGCGUCGCGAUUCGCGAGUACCUGAAGAAAAAGCAUCGGCUAACUCCGUGCCAGCAGCCGCGGUAAUACGGAGGAUGCGAGCGUUAUCCGGAUUUAUUGGGUUUAAAGGGUGCGUAGGCGGAAUGUCAAGUCAGCGGUAAAAUUUCGGGGCUCAACCCCGACGUGCCGUUGAAACUGGGGUUCUUGAGUGAGCGAGAGGUAUGCGGAAUGCGUGGUGUAGCGGUGAAAUGCAUAGAUAUCACGCAGAACUCCGAUUGCGAAGGCAGCAUACCAGCGCUCGACUGACGCUGAUGCACGAAAGCGUGGGUAUCGAACAGGAUUAGAUACCCUAGUAGUC